GAUGAGAGACCCUUAGAGAAGAAGGGCGCAUUUCUGGAGUCUUCUUCUCCAAUUUUUAAUGAAGACCUAGCCAACAGACCGCCCUUCAUCUGAAAAGAAAAAUGAAGAACAGACUUUUACAAAAGGAAGGAAAUGGUGCACAAACCUGAGCUUCCUUCUCCAAUUUUGCUGCUUCGUUCCUCACACACACAUGAAUAUGAGAAAGAAAACUUACUCAAAUUCUGAAUUUCAGUUCUGAAACGAUCCUAAACUCCCAAAACAAAAGCGAAAUCCAAAAAAGAAAAAUUCAAAGAAAUUUUCAGAAAAUUGGAUAGCUGUUUCAUCUGUUGAUUGUUGCUGAUUUUUGGGCUGUUGAUUCUGAGUUUAGUGUUGGAGUUCCAGCUUCGAAAUUUAGACCUUAUUUCGUCAUUUUUCUGUUGAAUUUUGUUUAAGGUACGCCACACCCAACUAAACCUAUAUUUUCGAAUUCGUUCUUGCAAUGAAAUUGUAGUUGCGUUCGUCAAUUAUUCUUUUUAGUUUCUGGUUUGUCUGAUCGUUUACUUUGUGACUGCUCUAUUGUGGUAAAAUGACUUAAUAGUGAAUAGUUCAUGGCUUCGUAAUGUAAUUUGUUGCUGAAGAAAUUUCCUUCUACGCGAACGCGUAGCCCAGGUCACGAAUGCGAGGCAGCGGGGGUCUAUACCUUCGCGAACGCGUUCCUGGCCACGCGAACGUGAAUGCCAAAUGGGCCUGGGCAGAGGGAGUGGUAGUUACCAUACGCGAAUGCAACCCGUUGGACGCGAAAUCGGGGGCUCAAGAAGCUAAAGCUAUGCGAACGCGAUCCUGUUAAGCAAACACGAAGGCGUAACCAGCCUAAACCAUCGCAAACACGAGGGGUCUGCCACAAUCGCGUAGAGUAAAAUCGCCAGUUAAAUUUUAAAAUUUCAGAACAGUAGCCUUACGGGAUUUCAUAAAAUUUUUAUAAGCCCCUUCUUCUCCAAGGCUCUUAGGUAAUUUCUGAAGCAAUCCUUCACCAUAGUAUCUUGGGUAAGUAAUCUUUAAUUCAUUUUCUUCUAUUUUCAUCAACAUCUAUUAGAUUUUUAGGACUAAAACAUGUGAUCAAGGGUAGAAAAUUAACAAUUUGGGUAGAGUUAGGGGUUUUUUGAUUAAUAGUGGUUUAGACCUCAUUUUGGGAUCGAAUUCUUAAAAUAAUUAUAUAUUUGGGCUCGUGGGUGAAUGAGUGAUUUGAUUUUUUUUCCGAACCUCGUGUUUUAACCAAACAGACCCGAGGUUGAUUUUUGGGUCUUUUUGGGAAGAAUGAUUGGAAAGCUAUAAUUAAGCAUUGGAUUCGAAUUGUUUAGCAUUUAUGGAUGUUAUGGAGUCAUUAAUGUAUAAAUAAAAUUGAUUUGGAGCCAAAUUUAAGAGUAAAAGCGGUAAUUGAGGAUUGAGUUGGCCGUGGAAGAUUGAGAUAAGUGUUCGGUCUAACCUUAGCUUGAGGGAUUAGGAGUUGAGUCUUAUUUGCCAUUUGUUUCUUGUUGAGUUGUAUUCUUGAAUGAUACUAUGGUUACAAUAGUGAGUAAAUCUGUGGCAGAUAGUAAAGACUUAGUUUAGUUUCGUGAAAAUUACAUUAUGAUCGAGAAAUGGUGAUAAAUGAGAUGAUUAAGAGUUGAGUUGAGAUUGGUUAUAGAUGAUUCUCCCUUGCCAGGACGUUUAUACUUGUACUGUUGAGUUCCCUUGCCGGGAUAGUAUAGUUUAUUUUGAUCCCUUGUCGGGACUGUUGUUAUGAUCAUUGUGAGUUGUAUAUUUGGAACGGGUUGCACGCCGCAAUAUAUAUAUAUAUAUAUAUAUANNNNNNNNNNNNNNNNNNNNNNNNNNNNNNNNNNNNNNNNNNNNNNNNNNNNNNNNNNNNNNNNNNNNNNNNNNNNNUAUAUAUAUAUAUAUAUAUAUAUAUAUAUAUAUAUCGGAUUGCAUGCGCGCAACAAUGUUUAAUGAUAUGGGAUCGGGUUGCGCGACGCAACAGUAAAAUUAUUGCAUUGUCGUAGAUACUGUACUAUUCUUUCAUAUAUAUUUUUGGUUUUAGUUAGGUUGAUACAUUUCGCCGAAGCAUGUGCCCCCUCCCUUUUAAAUGUUAUUUCCUAUUUAUUUUUCCUCCAUAUAUUAUAUAUCUGCACAGGUUUAUCUGGAGUAUGGUUCUAGCCUCGUCACUAUCUCGCCGGGGUUAGGCUAGACACUUACCAACACAUGGGGUCGGUUGUGCUGAUGCUGCACUAUGCACUUAUAUGCAGAUACCGGAGCAGUCUUUGGUCAGCAGGAGUAGCUCGGGAGCCAGCCUUUUCAAUCCACCAAAACACCGAGGUAGACUUUAGGCGUCCGCAAGCCAUACGUCUCCUCUAUAUUAUUUUAUAUUCUGUUAUCUCAUAUAUUCGAGACAAACAAUGUUAUUUUUCUUUCAAAAUGUUGUAUGUAAUAUUCUUAGCAGUCCGUGGAUGUUAUGACACCAGGUUCUGGGUAGAGACAUGUAUUGAUUUUCUAAAUAUUUUGGUUUCAUAUUUAUUUAGGACUUUCGCUAAA
RNAcentral lists this long non-coding RNA (2547 nucleotides) under Nicotiana benthamiana. Its description in RNAcentral is "long non-coding RNA (NBEN_LNC005311)". Lineage: Eukaryota; Viridiplantae; Streptophyta; Magnoliopsida; Solanales; Solanaceae. The record is from RNAcentral.